AGCAGCCGCGGUAAUUCCAGCUCCAAUAGCGUAUAUUAAAGUUGUUGCAGUUAAAAAGCUCGUAGUUGAAUUUCGGGAUCAAGUCGUCGGUCGUGCUCAGGUACGUACUGGCGUCAUUGAUUUCUCCCUUCUGACGAACCAUGAUGUCAUUAAUUUGGUGUUAUGGGAAAUCAGGACUGUUACUUUGAAAAAAUUAGGUGUUUAAAGCAGGCUCACGCUUGAAUACAUUAGCAUGGAAUAAUGAAAUAGGACGUUCGAUCCUAUUUUGUUGGUUUUAGGAUCAACGUAAUGAUUAAUAGGGAUAGUUGGGGGCAUUAGUAUUCAAUUGUCAGAGGUGAAAUUCUUGGAUUUAUUGAAGACUAACUACUGCGAAAGCAUUUGCCAAGGAUGUUUUCAUUAAUCAAGAACGAAAGUUAGGGGAUCGAAGACGAUCAGAUACCGUCGUAGUCUUAACCAUAAACUAUGCCGACUAGGAAUCGGAUGAUGUUAAUUUUUUCAAUGACUCAUUCGGCGCCUUACG
This 520-nucleotide ribosomal RNA is filed under the name uncultured Glomus. RNAcentral's name for it is "SSU rRNA". It matches the Rfam family "Eukaryotic small subunit ribosomal RNA", at positions 569 to 1092 of the family's 1831-position model. Lineage: Eukaryota; Fungi; Glomeromycota; Glomeromycetes; Glomerales; Glomeraceae. The record is from RNAcentral.